This 496-nucleotide ribosomal RNA is filed under the name uncultured bacterium. RNAcentral's name for it is "partial 16S ribosomal RNA". It matches the Rfam family "Bacterial small subunit ribosomal RNA", at positions 28 to 506 of the family's 1533-position model. The record is from RNAcentral.
GAUGAACGCUGGCGGCGUGCCUAAUACAUGCAAGUCGAGCGAACAGAUGAGGAGCUUGCUCCUCUGACGUUAGCGGCGGACGGGUGAGUAACACGUGGAUAACCUACCUAUAAGACUGGGAUAACUUCGGGAAACCGGAGCUAAUACCGGAUAAUAUAUUGAACCGCAUGGUUCAAUAGUGAAAGACGGUUUUGCUGUCACUUAUAGAUGGAUCCGCGCCGCAUUAGCUAGUUGGUAAGGUAACGGCUUACCAAGGCAACGAUGCGUAGCCGACCUGAGAGGGUGAUCGGCCACACUGGAACUGAGACACGGUCCAGACUCCUACGGGAGGCAGCAGUAGGGAAUCUUCCGCAAGGGGCGAAAGCCUGACGGAGCAACGCCGCGUGAGUGAUGAAGGUCUGCGGAUCGUAAAACUCUGUUAUUAGGGAAGAACAAAUGUGUAAGUAACGAUGCACGUCUUGACGGUACCUAAUCAGAAAGCCACGGCUAACUACGU